This 468-nucleotide ribosomal RNA is filed under the name uncultured bacterium. RNAcentral's name for it is "partial 16S ribosomal RNA". It matches the Rfam family "Bacterial small subunit ribosomal RNA", at positions 28 to 507 of the family's 1533-position model. The record is from RNAcentral.
GACGAACGCUGGCGGCGUGCUUAACACAUGCAAGUCGAACGGAAAGGCCCUGCUUUUGUGGGGUGCUCGAGUGGCGAACGGGUGAGUAACACGUGAGUAACCUGCCCUUGACUUUGGGAUAACUUCCGGAAACUGGGGCUAAUACCGGAUAGGAGCUCCUGCUGCAUGGUGGGGGUUGGAAAGUUUCGGCGGUUGGGGAUGGACUCGCGGCUUAUCAGCUUGUUGGUGGGGUAGUGGCUUACCAAGGCUUUGACGGGUAGCCGGCCUGAGAGGGUGACCGGCCACAUUGGGACUGAGAUACGGCCCAGACUCCUACGGGAGGCAGCAGUGGGGAAUAUUGCACAAUGGGCGGAAGCCUGAUGCAGCAACGCCGCGUGCGGGAUGACGGCCUUCGGGUUGUAAACCGCUUUCGCCUGUGAUGAAGCGUGAGUGGCGGUAAUGGGUAAAGAAGCACCGGCUAACUACGUG